This 1209-nucleotide long non-coding RNA is filed under the name Ornithorhynchus anatinus (platypus). RNAcentral describes it as "lncRNA (ENSOANG00000039842.1)". The record is from RNAcentral. Lineage: Eukaryota; Metazoa; Chordata; Mammalia; Monotremata; Ornithorhynchidae.
AUGGGGCAACUGUUAGGACGAUGCCCGCUUGGGAAAUACCCCCGUUGUUGUUCUAUAUCGCGGGGGCAAAUGUCGUCGGAGGCCAGGACCAGCUUGACACUGCCCCUCCUCUCCCCCCCUCCGGCCCCGGGGGUCUCUCUCUGUGUCUGUGUGUGUGUGUCUGUGUGUCCCAAAGCCCCCCAGGCCCCUCCCUCCCUGGCCAGGCCUCGAUGGGCCCUCGGGGAAGGGGCGGGGGAGGCAGGACUGGCCGGUACUCACCGCCGUGGUCCCGGGCCCCGGCCUCCUGCGCCCGCCGGGCCUCCGGCCGAGGGGCAGCCAACAAAGGGCCGCCGCCGCCGCCCGCUGUCCCCGCCGUCCCCGCCAGGAGCCCCGCGGCCCCGAUGGUUUCGCCCAUGCUCAGUGCAGAGCCCGCCUGCGCUCACGUCAGCCCCGAGCGCCGCCGCCGCCCCGCCCACAGACUCUCAGCCGGGCCCUGCUUCCCCUCAACCAGGCCCGGCUCCCCUGUCUCCUGCCCGACCCCCCCUCAGUCCGGCCCUGCUCCCCUGUGCCCUGCCCGGCUCCCCCUCAGCCAGGCCUGACAAUCCCUCAGCCCCACCCAACUCCCCUUUGCCCUGCCCAGCUCCCCCUCAGACAGGCCCAGCUCCCCUUUGCCCUGCCCGGCUGCUCCUCAGCCUGACCGGCUCCCCUGUGCCCUGCCCGGCUCCCCCUCAGCCAGGCCUGACUAUCCCUCAGCCCCACCCAACUCCCCUUUGCCCAGCUCCCCUUCAGCCAGGCCCAGCUCCCCUGUGCCCUGCCCGGCUGCCCCUUAGCCCGGCCCGGCUCCCCAUCAGUCAGGCCCGGCUCCCCUGUGUCCUGCCCGGCUUCCCCUGUGCCCUGCCCGGCUCCCCCUCAGCCCAGCCCGGCUCCCCCUCAGACAGGCCUGACAAUCCCUUAGCCCCACCCAGCUCCCCUUUGCCCUGCCCAGCUUCUCCUCAGCCCAGCCUGGCUCCCCCUCAGCAAGGCCCAGCUCCCCUGUGCCCUGCCCGGCUGCCCCUUAGCCCGCCCCGGCUCCCCCUCAGUCAGGUCCGGCUCCCCUGUGCCCUGCCCGGCUUCCCCUCAGUCAGGCCCUGCCUGGCUCCCCUUCAGUCAGGCCCGGCUCCCCCUGUGCCUUGCCCGGCUUCCCCUGUGCCCUGCCCGGCUCCCCCUCAGCCUGGCCUGACAAUCCCUUAG